UACGGAGGAUCCAAGCGUUAUCCGGAAUCAUUGGGUUUAAAGGGUUCGUAGGCGGUUUUGUAAGUCAGUGGUGAAAGUUUGCAGCUUAACUGUAAAAUUGCCAUUGAUACUGCAAGACUUGAAUGUUUGUGAAGUGGCUAGAAUAUGUAGUGUAGCGGUGAAAUGCUUAGAUAUUACAUGGAAUACCAAUUGCGAAGGCAGGUCACUAACAAAUGAUUGACGCUGAUGGACGAAAGCGUGGGGAGCGAACAGGAUUAGAUA
RNAcentral lists this ribosomal RNA (261 nucleotides) under uncultured prokaryote. RNAcentral describes it as "partial 16S ribosomal RNA". It matches the Rfam family "Bacterial small subunit ribosomal RNA", at positions 524 to 784 of the family's 1533-position model. The record is from RNAcentral.